AAUCAACGCUGGCGGCGUGCCUAACACAUGCAAGUCGAACGCGAAAGGGGGCUUCGGCUCCUAAGUAGAGUGGCGUCCGGGUGAGUAACACGUAGGUAAUCUGCCUUCGGGUGGGGAAUAACCAGUCGAAAGAUUGGCUAAUACCGCAUAAUGCAGCGGCACCUAAUGGUGAUUAGUUGUUAAAGCGGGGGAUCGUAAGACCUCGCGCCUGAAGAGGAGCCUGCGGCAGAUUAGCUAGUUGGUGAGGUAAUGGCUCACCAAGGCUUCGAUCUGUAGCUGGUCUGAGAGGACGGCCAGCCACACUGGCACUGACACACGGGCCAGACUCCUACGGGAGGCAGCAGUGGGAAUUUUGGGCAAUGGGCGAAAGCCUGACCCAGCAACGCCGCGUGAGGGAGGAAAUCCUUCGGGAUGUAAACCUCACAAGCAAGGGAAGAGAGCUCAGGGCCGAAUAAGCUUUGAGUCCGACGGUACCUUGCGUAAGCCACGGCUAACUACGUGCC
Molecule: ribosomal RNA, 503 nt
Filed under: uncultured bacterium
Lineage: Bacteria
Description: bacterial SSU rRNA
Rfam family: Bacterial small subunit ribosomal RNA
Source: RNAcentral